UUUCUUUUCCUCUCGUCUCCAGUUCGACUUCGAGCCUUUGUGUCUUCUCCAACCUUUAGGGCCAUUAACAACUCCAUCGCAAUAGAUAUUGAGAAUCCAGAUGGUGUGGUGGUUAAACAGGUCUCCAGGACCAGGGCUGUUGAUGGGAUCUUUUCGGAAACAUUUCCACUCUCUGAAUACGUCAAUGAAGGAACAUGGAUUGUUACAGCAAGGUUUGACCACUGGGAGGAGAACACGUUCACCUCUCAGUUUCAGGUGAAGAAAUAUGUGCUCCCUGCCUUCAAUGUUACCUUAACACCCAAGAAAUCCUUCCUUAGCUUGGAUGACA
Molecule: non-coding RNA, 328 nt
Organism: Neolamprologus brichardi
Lineage: Eukaryota; Metazoa; Chordata; Actinopteri; Cichliformes; Cichlidae
Source: RefSeq, a predicted model, not a curated record